This 544-nucleotide small RNA is filed under the name Pongo abelii (Sumatran orangutan). RNAcentral's name for it is "retained intron". Lineage: Eukaryota; Metazoa; Chordata; Mammalia; Primates; Hominidae. The record is from RNAcentral.
ACUUACUCAUCAUAUAAACCCAAGGCACAAUCAUAUACCCAGGGAUACAAGACACUGCAGACUCCCGAGAGACACGACACAGAAUUGCACCAUGCCAAACUACAAACUCACUUAUUUUAAUAUGAGGGGGAGAGCAGAAAUUAUUCGUUACAUAUUUGCUUAUUUGGACAUACAGUAUGAAGACCACAGACUAGAACAAGCUGACUGGCCUGAAAUCAAAUCAAGUAAGUAGCACAAAUAAUAAAUGUAGGAAAAAUAUGCUUUCAGAACCUUUUGUUUUUCCUCAGGGAAAUGAAAAAAAAAAUCAAGGUUUUCAGAGCUCAUGUAGCUUUAAAUUGAGGAGCAGCAGUUCAGACUAAAUAAAUGCUGCGUGAUCAAGCAAAUCUCCUAUUAGAGGUGAAAACACAAAACUUACAGAAAGAGAAUGUAAAGGUAAACCAGUAUAAAGCUUUAUCAGAUGAGAAGAUGAGCUGAAAUAAACAUGAGACAUUGUUUGUUUGUUUGUUUUUCUAUUUUGUCACUGGGAUAGCUGAAGUGCACAGAG